GCAAGUCGAACGGUAAUUACACUUUCGGGUGUAAACGAGUGGCGCACGGGUGCGUAACGCGUAUGAAACCUACCCUGUACAGGGGGAUAGCCCGUGGAAACAUGGAUUAAUACCCCAUAGUAUUAUUUUAUUGCAUGAUAGAAUGAUUAAAGAUUUAUUGGUACGGGAUGGUCAUGCGUCUGAUUAGCUAGAUGGUGAGGUAAUGGCUCACCAUGGCGACGAUCCCUAGCUGGUCUGAGAGGAUGAUC
This 248-nucleotide ribosomal RNA is filed under the name uncultured bacterium. RNAcentral's name for it is "partial 16S ribosomal RNA". It matches the Rfam family "Bacterial small subunit ribosomal RNA", at positions 57 to 305 of the family's 1533-position model. The record is from RNAcentral.